This 217-nucleotide non-coding RNA is filed under the name Clostridium sp. Its description in RNAcentral is "T-box sequence". It matches the Rfam family "T-box leader". From Rfam's summary of the family: Uncharged tRNA acts as the effector for transcription antitermination of genes in the T-box leader family. Lineage: Bacteria; Bacillati; Bacillota; Clostridia; Eubacteriales; Clostridiaceae. The record is from RNAcentral.
UCAAACGCUGUGAUAAAGGAAGUAACCUUUCUUUUCUUCCGCGCAGAGAGAACGUGUCACCGGCUGAAAGCACGUUUGCGGAUAAGACUGGCGAAGUUCCCUUUGGAGCGGUGCGGCUGAACCAUUCGCAGUAGGCCGCAACGGGCGGCACCGUUAGCAGGCUGUCAGAGUACAAAUACAGGGUGGUACCACGGAGCUUUGCGCUUUCGUCCCUUGC